UUUAAAAUUUUUCUACAUAAAAAUGUAAGUUUGUAAAAUCAAACAAUAAUCUUGAAACAUAAAAAAUAUAAUUUUUUUCUUUCUUGAUAUAUCCACUACAACUCAUUAAAAUAAUCAGUGUCUCCAAGUAAUGGUUAAAUUCACGUCAGAAUUUAUAAGAGCUGGUUUCAAAAUUUUUUGAAAUUAAAAGUUACUUGCCUACCAGAUAAGUGUACUAUUUUUACAUAAGAUUCUUUUUCUAUCUGAAAAACAAUGGCUCGAUUAUUAAGUAUUUUGUUUCUGAUUGUCCUUAUUGUGGGUAUUUCAGAAUGUUUUUUGGCUGGAAUAUUCAGAGGAGGAAUGAAAAUGUUAAAUUCAGUGGGUUCAACAAUAGUGAAAGGAGUUCAUCAUGUUUUUUCAAAUAAUGAUGAUAAUGACGACAAUUAAUCAACAUAAAAAAGAUACGAGAAAAACUUGAAAAAAACAUAAUACAAAUUCUUCAAAAUAAUAAUUAAUUAAUCAUUUGUAUUUAAAAAUGGUGUAUUUUUUAAAAUUCAGUAAAGAAUUAUAACAACAAAA
Long non-coding RNA from Leptopilina boulardi, 558 nucleotides. RefSeq lists it as uncharacterized. Lineage: Eukaryota; Metazoa; Arthropoda; Insecta; Hymenoptera; Figitidae. The record is from RefSeq and is a predicted model, not a curated record. The transcript has 4 exons.